GAUGAACGCUGGCGGCGUGCUUAACACAUGCCAGUCGAGCGAACAGACGAGGAUCUUGCUCCUCUGACGUUAGCGGCGGACGGGUGAGUAACACGUGUAUCACCUACCUAUAAGACUGGGAUAACUUCGGGAAACCGGCGCUAAUACCGGAUAAUAUAUUGAACCGCAUGGUUCAAUAGUGAAAGACGGCUUUGCUGUCUCUUAUAGAUGGUUCUGGGCCGCAUUGGCUAGUUGGUAAGGUAACGGCUUACCAAGGCGACCAUGCGUAGACGAACUGAGAGAGUGGUCGGCCACAUGGGAAGUGAGACGCGGACCAGGCGACUACGAGACGCAGCAGUAGGGAAUCUGACGCAGUGGGCGAAAGCCUGACGGAGCGGCGCCGAGUGAGUGAUGAAGGUCUUCGGAUCGGAAAACUCUGUUAUUAGGGAAAAACAAAUGUGGAAGUAACUAUGCACGUAUUGACGGUAACUAAUCAGAAAGCCACGGCUAACUACGUG
Molecule: ribosomal RNA, 497 nt
Filed under: uncultured bacterium
Lineage: Bacteria
Description: partial 16S ribosomal RNA
Rfam family: Bacterial small subunit ribosomal RNA
Source: RNAcentral